ACUCUUGUGGAUGCUGUUCUUACUCCUCCCGCCGUCUGAGUCCCAGAGUGCGGCCCUGCCCUCCUCACUCCCAGUAGUCCUGGGAGCAGACAAACCCUGGACAAGGCAAGCCCAGGAGCAGGAGCCUGUCUGCCCGAGAGCCAGCAAGGCCCCCUGACUUCAUCCUGGUGCUUUGUGAGUGUCUGCCGGCAAAUCCUGGGUGAUGGAGAGUGAUCCUGCUCCUUAUGGAGAGCAAAGACUCUAAAGCAGCACUGUCCAGGAGCAAGAUCCUGAGCUCCAUCAUGGUCUACUGCCUGGCAACUUCAACCGUAUCCCUGAUUCUCUCCUUGCUGGCCAGCUUUGCCCCAGUGGCUCCCCUCCUGCAAAUAGGGCAAAAGGCAUGGAGAUGAGACCAGAGUGUCCGGCUCUGGGGGUUUGAUGGACCGAGACAGACAAGUGAGCGUACAAGCAAACAUUUUGAAAACGAGCGCAUGAGUCAAUGGUCAGGACUGGUGCACGUUGAUUGGGGUGGAUGUAACUGAAGGGUCACUAGUAGGAUUUCCACAGCCAGCUGGCCCAGGGCCUCUCUGGUCACCCUGGGAAAGCCUUACUUUUUGAAAGGUUCCAGUCCUCUCUCAGUGAAAACACACGGGUGUGACAACACCCACGGUUCCCUGACCUCCACAGACUGAGGUCUGAGCCCAUUGAAAUCAGGUGUCUGAAGUCACGCAGAAUGGCUUUCGGUGGUGCUGUGAGCCGACCGUUUCAGGGUACUCCUUCCUCCGAUUUCACAGAUGUGUCGGUUGGAUUUUAUUCUUAAGUGGCCUAAGCCAAAAGCAUCUUCUCCCAGAAACAGCAGGUUCAUUUCAAUUCAAUAUUUCACUUUGGACAACUGCUUGCCUUCAUUUAGCGCCGCAUGCUGGGACUUGGUCUCCCCGGGCGUUCUGGCUUCCCUCCCGUUAGCGACGGUGGCAGCAGUGCAGACAGAUUGAGGCCCCAGGAAGGCGGACCCCCCAACUGCGCGGCAGCAGUGAGCUGGGAG
Long non-coding RNA from Marmota flaviventris (yellow-bellied marmot), 1021 nucleotides. RefSeq lists it as uncharacterized. Lineage: Eukaryota; Metazoa; Chordata; Mammalia; Rodentia; Sciuridae. The record is from RefSeq and is a predicted model, not a curated record.